UACGGGGGGGCAAGCGUUGCUCGGAAUCACUGGGCGUAAAGGGUGCGUAGGCGGGUCUUUAAGUCAGGGGUGAAAUCCUGGAGCUCAACUCCAGAACUGCCUUUGAUACUGGCGACCUUGAGUCCGGGAGAGGUGAGUGGAACUGCGAGUGUAGAGGUGAAAUUCGUAGAUAUUCGCAAGAACACCAGUGGCGAAGGCGGCUCACUGGCCCGGUACUGACGCUGAGGUGCGAAAAGCGUGGGGAGCAAACAGGG
RNAcentral lists this ribosomal RNA (254 nucleotides) under uncultured bacterium. RNAcentral's name for it is "partial 16S ribosomal RNA". It matches the Rfam family "Bacterial small subunit ribosomal RNA", at positions 524 to 777 of the family's 1533-position model. The record is from RNAcentral.